UACCUGGUUGAUCCUGCCAGUAGUCAUAUGCUUGUCUCAAAGAUGUAAGGCAUGGUUGUGUAAGUAUGAAACUAAUUCCGAGUGGGACA
RNAcentral lists this ribosomal RNA (89 nucleotides) under Eucalyptus nova-anglica. RNAcentral's name for it is "partial 18S ribosomal RNA". It matches the Rfam family "Eukaryotic small subunit ribosomal RNA", at positions 1 to 88 of the family's 1831-position model. Lineage: Eukaryota; Viridiplantae; Streptophyta; Magnoliopsida; Myrtales; Myrtaceae. The record is from RNAcentral.